This 688-nucleotide ribosomal RNA is filed under the name uncultured Bacteroidales bacterium. RNAcentral's name for it is "bacterial SSU rRNA". It matches the Rfam family "Bacterial small subunit ribosomal RNA", at positions 34 to 715 of the family's 1533-position model. Lineage: Bacteria; Pseudomonadati; Bacteroidota; Bacteroidia; Bacteroidales. The record is from RNAcentral.
CGCUAGCUCCAUUCUUAACACAUGCAAGUCGAGGGGCAGCACAGUGUAGCAUUACAUGGGUGGCGACCGGCGCACGGGUGCGUAACGCGUAUCCAACCUUCCCGUUACUCUUGGAUAGCCUUCCGAAAGGGAGAUUAAUACAAGAUGGUAUUCAAAUUCCGCAUGUUAUUUGAAUUAAAGAUUUAUCGGUAACGGAUGGGGAUGCGUGACAUUAGAUAGUAGGCGGGGUAACGGCCCACCUAGUCUACGAUGUCUAGGGGUUCUGAGAGGAAGGUCCCCCACACUGGAACUGAGACACGGUCCAGACUCCUACGGGAGGCAGCAGUGAGGAAUAUUGGUCAAUGGUCGGAAGACUGAACCAGCCAAGUAGCGUGAAGGAUGAAGGUUCUAUGGAUUGUAAACUUCUUUUAUACGGGAAUAAAACCUCCCACGUGUGGGAGCUUGUAUGUACCGUAUGAAUAAGCAUCGGCUAACUCCGUGCCAGCAGCCGCGGUAAUACGGAGGAUGCGAGCGUUAUCCGGAUUUAUUGGGUUUAAAGGGAGCGUAGACGGGAUGUUAAGUCAGUUGUGAAAGGCUGCGGCUCAACCGCAGCACUGCAGUUGAUACUGGCGUCCUUGAGUGCGGUUGAGGUAUGUGGAAUUCGUGGUGUAGCGGUGAAAUGCUUAGAUAUCACGAAGAACUCCGAUUG